UCGAGAAUCUUCGGCAAUGGGCGAAAGCCUGACCGAGCGAUGCCGCGUGCGGGAUGAAGGCCUUCGGGUUGUAAACCGCUGUCGUAGGGGAGAAAGGGUCGUUGAAGAAACGACUUUGAUCUAUCCUAGGAGGAAGUCCGGGCUAAGUUCGUGCCAGCAGCCGCGGUAACACGAACCGGACAAACGUUAUUCGGAAUUACUGGGCUUAAAGGGUGCGUAGGCGGUGCGGUAAGUGCGGUGUGAAAUCCCACGGCUCAACCGUGGAAUUGCGCUGCAUACUGCCGUGCUAGAGGGAGACAGGGGUAAGCGGAACUGAUGGUGGAGCGGUGAAAUGCGUUGAUAUCAUCAGGAACACCGGUGGCGAAAGCGGCUUACUGGGUCUCUUCUGACGCUGAGGCACGAAAGCUAGGGUAGCGAACGGGAUUAGAUACCCUUGUAGUCCCUGAGCGGGCUGGCAAGGCGCAU
RNAcentral lists this ribosomal RNA (465 nucleotides) under uncultured bacterium. RNAcentral describes it as "bacterial SSU rRNA". It matches the Rfam family "Bacterial small subunit ribosomal RNA", at positions 355 to 825 of the family's 1533-position model. The record is from RNAcentral.